CUAGCCUUCCAAGCUA
RNAcentral lists this transfer RNA (16 nucleotides) under Radula cathayana. Its description in RNAcentral is "Radula sp. CP-2022a partial tRNA-Gly". RNAcentral also lists the same sequence under 1 other name. The record is from RNAcentral. Lineage: Eukaryota; Viridiplantae; Streptophyta; Jungermanniopsida; Radulales; Radulaceae.